This 275-nucleotide small nuclear RNA is filed under the name Ophiophagus hannah (king cobra). Its description in RNAcentral is "7SK RNA". It matches the Rfam family "7SK RNA". Rfam says of the family: 7SK was discovered as an abundant small nuclear RNA in the mid-70s but a possible function has only recently been suggested. Lineage: Eukaryota; Metazoa; Chordata; Lepidosauria; Squamata; Elapidae. The record is from Rfam by way of RNAcentral.
GUACGUGAGGGUGAACUGGCUGUGACAUCUGUCACCCCAUUGAUUUCCAGGAUUAAUUUGGCUGAUCUGAAUGGCUAGGUGGGUUUCCCUUCCUCCCUUACCACUCCAUGUGCAUCCCUCCUGAAGCUGUGUGCUCUGUGGAAGGAGACAGCCAUCCCAGAUAGAAGAAGUAUACCAGUAUUUAGUCAAAGGUGUACGAUAGCUCACAAUGUAUAGAGAUUUCCACUUCAAGUCCAACACCCAGAGAUUUUACACUAGAUAGAAAGAGAAUGUUU